CCAGGAAAUAUAAGCAUCUCUCUCUAGAGAGGUCAAACUAGGCAGCAUCUGAAGAAGCCUUAUAGCUGCUACCAGAUAGGGUACUCAGAGCAGCCUUGCAGCCCAAAGUCCUCACCUGAAGGUAAGCUAUGCGAUGUCACUCAGGCAGUAGGGAUGCUAUGGUUGAAGAUCUUUCACGUACAAUUUAAGCCAACUGAAUAAAGGAACAUGCCUGUAGUUAAGAAUUGGCACCAUCUUCUCAAGUCCUCC
Molecule: long non-coding RNA, 249 nt
Filed under: Populus trichocarpa (black cottonwood)
Lineage: Eukaryota; Viridiplantae; Streptophyta; Magnoliopsida; Malpighiales; Salicaceae
Description: long non-coding RNA (PTRI_LNC002809)
Source: RNAcentral